This 433-nucleotide ribosomal RNA is filed under the name uncultured bacterium. RNAcentral describes it as "partial 16S ribosomal RNA". It matches the Rfam family "Bacterial small subunit ribosomal RNA", at positions 29 to 507 of the family's 1533-position model. The record is from RNAcentral.
AACGAACGCUGGCGGCAUGCCUAACACAUGCAAGUCGAACGAGACCUUCGGGUCUAGUGGCGCACGGGUGCGUAACGCGUGGGAACCUGCCCUUAGGUUCGGAAUAACUCCCCGAAAGGGGUGCUAAUACCGGAUAAUGUCUUCGGACCAAAGAUUUAUCGCCUUUGGAUGGGCCCGCGUUGGAUUAGCUCGUUGGUAGGGUAAAAGCCUACCAAGGCGACGAUCCAUAGCUGGUCUGAGAGGAUGAUCAGCCACACUGGGACUGAGACACGGCCCAGACUCCUACGGGAGGCAGCAGUUGGGAAUAUUGGACAAUGGGCGAAAGCCUGAUCCAGCAAUGCCGCGUGAGUGAUGAAGGCCUUAGGGUUGUAAAGCUCUUUUACCCGGGAUGAUAAUGACAGUACCGGGAGAAUAAGCUCCGGCUAACUCCGUG